Molecule: ribosomal RNA, 717 nt
Filed under: uncultured bacterium
Lineage: Bacteria
Description: bacterial SSU rRNA
Rfam family: Bacterial small subunit ribosomal RNA
Source: RNAcentral
GAUUAGAUACCCUCGUAGUCCAUGCCGUAAACGAUGUGUGUUAGACGUUGGAAAUUUAUUUUCAGUGUCGCAGCGAAAGCGAUAAACACACCGCCUGGGGAGUACGACCGCAAGGUUAAAACUCAAAUGAAUUGACGGGGACCCGCACAAGUAGUGGAGCAUGUGGUUUAAUUCGAAGAUACGCGCAGAACCUUACCAACACUUGACAUGUUCGUCGCGACUCUAAGAGAUUAGAGUUUUCGGUUCGGCCGGACGAAACACAGGUGCUGCAUGGCUGUCGUCAGCUCGUGUCGUGAGAUGUUGGGUUAAGUCCCGCAACGAGCGCAACCCUCACUUUUAGUUGCCAUCAUUAAGUUGGGCACUCUGAAAGAACUGCCAGUGAUAAGCUGGAGGAAGGUGGGGAUGACGUCAAGUCCUCAUGGCCCUUACGUGUUGGGCUACACACGUGCUACAAUGGUAUCUACAACAGGAAGCAAGACGGCGACGUUAAGCAAAUCCUUAAAAGAUACCUCAGUUCGGAUUGCACUCUGCAACUCGAGUGCAUGAAGCUGGAAUUACUAGUAAUCGUGGAUCAGCGUGCCACGGUGAAUGCGUUCCCGGGUCUUGUACACACCGCCCGUCACACCAUGGGAGUUGGUUCUACCUUAAGGCAAGGUUUAAAACCCUUGACCACGGUAUAGUCAGCGACUGGGGUGAAGUCGUAACAAGGUAACCGUA